This 253-nucleotide ribosomal RNA is filed under the name uncultured bacterium. Its description in RNAcentral is "partial 16S ribosomal RNA". It matches the Rfam family "Bacterial small subunit ribosomal RNA", at positions 524 to 776 of the family's 1533-position model. The record is from RNAcentral.
UACGUAGGGGGCAAGCGUUAUCCGGAUUUACUGGGUGUAAAGGGAGCGUAGACGGCUAAUUAAGUCAGAAGUGAAAACCCAGGGCUCAACUUUGGGACUGCUUUUGAAACUGAGUGGCUAGAGUGCAGGAGAGGUAAGCGGAAUUCCUAGUGUAGCGGUGAAAUGCGUAGAUAUUAGGAGGAACACCAGUGGCGAAGGCGGCUUACUGGACUGUAACUGACGUUGAGGCUCGAAAGCGUGGGGAGCAAACAGG